Molecule: ribosomal RNA, 403 nt
Filed under: uncultured bacterium
Lineage: Bacteria
Description: bacterial SSU rRNA
Rfam family: Bacterial small subunit ribosomal RNA
Source: RNAcentral
UAGGGAAUAUUGCUUAAUGGGCGAAAGCCUGAAGCAGCAACGCCGCGUGUGUGAAGAAGGCCUUCGGGUUGUAAACACUUUUUGAGGGGAUGAGGAAGGACAGUACCCCCAGAAUAAGCCUCGGCCAACUACGUGCCAGCAGCCGCGGUAAAACGUAGGAGGCGAGCGUUAUCCGGAUUUACUGGGCGUAAAGCGCGUGCAGGCGGCACGGCAAGUUGGAUGUGAAAGCUCCCGGCUUAACUGGGAGAGGUCGUUCAAAACUGCCGAGCUAGAGUGCGGGAGAGGGAGGUGGAAUUCCGGGUGUAGUGGUGAAAUGCGUAGAUAUCCGGAGGAACACCAGUGGCGAAAGCGGCCUCCUGGUCCGCAACUGACGCUCAGACGCGAAAGCUAGGGUAGCAAACGG